RNAcentral lists this unclassified non-coding RNA (564 nucleotides) under Hevea brasiliensis (rubber tree). Lineage: Eukaryota; Viridiplantae; Streptophyta; Magnoliopsida; Malpighiales; Euphorbiaceae. The record is from RNAcentral.
UGUGUGCACGCACGUGUGUGUUAAGUAGGAAUAAAAGAUAUAUAUAAAAAGGCCAAUAUUGAAUAUAUGAAGCUUUUUGAACUUAACAAGGCCUAAGAAAAGAGUUAGAAGAAUUAAGGGGUUUAGGCUGGGGUCUGUGUAGCCUAAAAAUGGUAAUUAAGUACUUCAGGAAUCUGCUGCUCACUUAAAGUUAGUAGAAUAGGAUUACUGUUUUCAUUGAAAAUAGUUAGGACACAGUGCCAUGAAUUAUUGUAAUUAAUAUUUGCAAGAACAAUCUUCGUCUUGUUUCAUGUGUAAGAUGCCAACAGGGAUUCAUGUUGGACAGCCUAAGCGUUGACCUUCAUAUCACUGCUCUUCCUUUUAUAUAGGCAUGAAAAAAACAUACAAUUACUCAAGACAAUCUUCUCUAUGUGUGUGUGUGAAGAUUAUGCAUUCAAGUUCUCUUGGACACAGUUCUCACAAAUGGGGAUUGAAAUGUGACUAAUGAUCCAACAUCACAUGAAGUUCACUAAUCUGCUGCUGCUGCUGUUGUCAUUUGCAGUCGCUGACACACUACUUUGGAAG